GUACUGACGAAGAGUCCCAAACUAGGACGAAACUGCUUUCCAGUAC
RNAcentral lists this non-coding RNA (46 nucleotides) under Trichobilharzia regenti. Lineage: Eukaryota; Metazoa; Platyhelminthes; Trematoda; Strigeidida; Schistosomatidae. The record is from RNAcentral.